UAGUCCUAGCUGUAAACGAUCUGUACUAGUCCGUGGGGACUCCCACAUCUUCUCGGACGUAGCGAAAGUGUUAAGUACAGCGCCUGGGGAGUAUGGUCGCAAGGCUGAAACUCAGAGGAAUUGACGGGGGCUCACACAAGCGGUGGAGGAUGUGGCUUAAUUCGAGGCUACGCGAAGAACCUUACCUAGACUUAACGUGCUUGGGAAUUCCUGUGAAAGCAGGAAGUGCCUUUCGGGGAGCCCUUGCGUAGGUGCUGCAUGGCUGUCGUCAGCUCGUGUCGUGAGAUGUCGGGUUAAGUCCCUUAACGAGCGAAACCCUUGUCACUAGUUGCCAGCGAGUAACGUCGGGGACUCUAGUGAGACUGCCGGUGUUAAACCGGAGGAAGGUGGGGAUGACGUCAAGUCCUCAUGGCCUUUAUGUCUAGGGCUGCACACGUCCUACAAUGCGGCGAACAAAGCGAUGCUAACUCGUGAGAGUACGCAAACCGCAAAAAGACGCCGCCCAGUUCGGAUUGCG
RNAcentral lists this ribosomal RNA (517 nucleotides) under uncultured bacterium. RNAcentral describes it as "bacterial SSU rRNA". It matches the Rfam family "Bacterial small subunit ribosomal RNA", at positions 791 to 1302 of the family's 1533-position model. The record is from RNAcentral.